UUUUGUACACGAAGUUGAUAUAGUGUCACUGGGUAGGAGAAAGUUCAGCACAGAUUUUCAGACUGCUAAAGGCGUUGAUGUUCUUUGGAUUUAUAGUGACGGUUAGCAUCCUCUUUAUGUUUGUGAAUCUUAAAGUUGGUGACAUCUUUGCGAGCAAAGAGCACAACAGCUGAUCCAAAUGCAUUGAUUGAUGAAUGGAGAAUACACAAGAAGCAAGUUAUGGCUUCAUGACCUU
This is a long non-coding RNA of Papaver somniferum (opium poppy), 235 nucleotides long. RefSeq lists it as uncharacterized. The record is from RefSeq and is a predicted model, not a curated record. The transcript has 3 exons. NCBI's taxonomy places the organism in Eukaryota, Viridiplantae, Streptophyta, Magnoliopsida, Ranunculales, Papaveraceae.